Molecule: ribosomal RNA, 447 nt
Filed under: uncultured bacterium
Lineage: Bacteria
Description: partial 16S ribosomal RNA
Rfam family: Bacterial small subunit ribosomal RNA
Source: RNAcentral
AGCGAACGCUGGCGGCAGGCUUAACACAUGCAAGUCGAACGGUCCUUCGGGAUAGUGGCGGACGGGUGAGUAACACGUGGGAACGUACCCUUAGGUUCGGAACAACACAGGGAAACUUGUGCUAAUACCGGAUAAGGCCUUCGGGGGAAAGAUUUAUCGCCUUUGGAGCGGCCCGCGUCUGAUUAGCUUGUUGGUGAGGUAAUGGCUCACCAAGGUGACGAUCAGUAGCUGGUCUGAGAGGAUGGCCAGCCACACUGGGACUGAGACACGUCCCAGACUCCUACGGGGGGCAGCAGUGGGGAAUCUUGUGCAAUGGGGGAAAGCCUGACGCAGCCAUGCCUCGUGGAUGAUUAAGGUCUGAGGAUUGUAAAAUCCUUUCACCGGGGACGAUAAUGACGUUACCCGGAGAAGAAGCCCCGGCUAACUUCGUGCCAGCCGCCGCAGUAA